This 702-nucleotide long non-coding RNA is filed under the name Neodiprion pinetum (white pine sawfly). RNAcentral's name for it is "uncharacterized LOC124215335, transcript variant X1". Lineage: Eukaryota; Metazoa; Arthropoda; Insecta; Hymenoptera; Diprionidae. The record is from RNAcentral.
UUUCGCCUUCCGUGUGCAGAUGCACUUUUGCAACUGGUUGUGCCGCGAUAAUUCUUGUGAGAAAAAAGAAUUUACGUUGACCUGAUUCCUACCUAUUUCUUUGUUUAAGUUUUUCAGCCAUGCCUGCGAGUUGGUUAUAAUGUGCGGGCUGCGUUACAAAUCGUUCGAAUGCAUGCUGAAAAAUCAUAACCGAGGUACAGAAUUUGCCAGGAUGUACCGUCGCGACUGACUUUGUAGAAGGUCAAAAAAGUCGCCAAACCUAACUUGACGCGUCACCGCAAUUUCCAUUCAUUCUUUCGUUGCCGCCGUUUCUAUACGACGUAGUUGUUCAGCAAAAAACGUAUACAAUGAAAGUUAAAGUUACGAGUCACCAGCACCCCCCAAUCUCACCUGCCUGGAAUUGUUUACGUAUGAUCUGUGGGCCACCUCGGGAGCUUUCGGUCGUCCAGUGGUACCGGAAGUGAAUUGAAUAACCAUGCCGCUCCCGGGAGAGAUUUCACCCUGUUCAGCACCGAUGGCUUCCACUUCAAUGCUGCUGGCCAGGGACUCGACGUCGACGAAUCUCCUGGUGCCACUGUGAUGGAUGACAUUUUUUAGGAAAAAUUAAUUAAAAUCCACUCACGAAAGUUAAUCCCGAGUGUUAUUCUUCACAUCUAUAUGUAAUCUGCGUGUGUAAUUUGAACGAAUAAUUGUUCAAACUUU